RNAcentral lists this ribosomal RNA (327 nucleotides) under Triticum aestivum (bread wheat). RNAcentral describes it as "partial small subunit ribosomal RNA". Lineage: Eukaryota; Viridiplantae; Streptophyta; Magnoliopsida; Poales; Poaceae. The record is from RNAcentral.
AUGGCGUUCAAUAGAGCACAAUUGCUUGUUGCCUUCGUUCUGGGUUUGCUCCUCAUGUGCCACGGUGCGGAGGCUUUCCAUCAGCUUUUCUCCUCCAUGAACAAGGAUUACAACCACGGAUGCAUGGACUGGAAGGAAUGCAUGAAGAGUUGCCAAAAGGGGGGGUUCGACGGCGGAUUCUGCAUACUCUCCAAAUGCACCUGCUUCAAAAAGGGUAUGCAUGCACCACCACCACAACACAAUGCGCCGGAGUUGGCGCCAUCCGAAGGGCCAUCGGAGGCAAAAGCCAUGUUCGCAAGGAAUGUUUACAUGGGUACGGGUAAUUGA